CUCUAUGGCCAUGCUACCCUGAAUGUGCCUGAUCUCGUCUGAUGUCGGAAGCUAAGCAGGGUCAGGCCUGGUUAGUACUUGGAUGGGAGACCACCUAGAAAUACCAGGUGCUGUAGGUG
This 119-nucleotide ribosomal RNA is filed under the name Pteropus alecto (black flying fox). The record is from RNAcentral. Lineage: Eukaryota; Metazoa; Chordata; Mammalia; Chiroptera; Pteropodidae. RNAcentral also lists the same sequence under 1 other name.